RNAcentral lists this ribosomal RNA (474 nucleotides) under uncultured organism. RNAcentral describes it as "partial 16S ribosomal RNA". It matches the Rfam family "Bacterial small subunit ribosomal RNA", at positions 331 to 797 of the family's 1533-position model. The record is from RNAcentral.
GUACACUCCUACGGGAGGCAGCAGUGGGGAAUAUUGCACAAUGGGCGCAAGCCUGAUGCAGCCAUGCCGCGUGUAUGAAGAAGGCCUUCGGGUUGUAAAGUACUUUCAGCGGGGAGGAAGGCGAUAAGGUUAAUAACCUUGUCGAUUGACGUUACCCGCAGAAGAAGCACCGGCUAACUCCGUGCCAGCAGCCGCGGUAAUACGGAGGGUGCAAGCGUUAAUCGGAAUUACUGGGCGUAAAGCGCACGCAGGCGGUCUGUCAAGUCGGAUGUGAAAUCCCCGGGCUCAACCUGGGAACUGCAUUCGAAACUGGCAGGCUAGAGUCUUGUAGAGGGGGGUAGAAUUCCAGGUGUAGCGGUGAAAUGCGUAGAGAUCUGGAGGAAUACCGGUGGCGAAGGCGGCCCCCUGGACAAAGACUGACGCUCAGGUGCGAAAGCGUGGGGAGCAAACAGGAUUAGAAACCCGAGUAGUCCC